UACGUAGGGGGCGAGCGUUGUCCGGAAUGAUUGGGCGUAAAGGGCGCGUAGGCGGCGCAUUAAGUCUGGAGUGGAAGUCCUGCUUUCAAGGUGGGAAUUGCUUUGGAAACUGAUGUGCUUGAGUGUGGGAGAGGAAAGCGGAAUUCCCGGUGUAGCGGUGAAAUGCGUAGAGAUCGGGAGGAACACCAGUGGCGAAGGCGGCUUUCUGGACCAUAACUGACGCUGAGGCG
RNAcentral lists this ribosomal RNA (230 nucleotides) under uncultured microorganism. RNAcentral describes it as "partial 16S ribosomal RNA". It matches the Rfam family "Bacterial small subunit ribosomal RNA", at positions 524 to 753 of the family's 1533-position model. The record is from RNAcentral.